RNAcentral lists this ribosomal RNA (215 nucleotides) under uncultured bacterium. Its description in RNAcentral is "partial 16S ribosomal RNA". It matches the Rfam family "Bacterial small subunit ribosomal RNA", at positions 1285 to 1500 of the family's 1533-position model. The record is from RNAcentral.
GUCUCAGUUCGGAUCGCAGGCUGCAACCCGCCUGCGUGAAGCCGGAAUUGCUAGUAAUCGCGGAUCAGCAUGCCGCGGUGAAUAUGUUCCCGGGCCUUGUACACACCGCCCGUCACACCAUGAGAGCCGGGGGGACCCGAAGUCCGUAGCCUAACCGAAAGGGGGCGCGGCCGAAGGUAAAACUGGUGAUUGGGGUGAAGUCGUAACAAGGUAUC